CCUUCUCCUCUUCUUCUUCUUCUUCUCCUCCUUCUUCUUCUUUCUCCUUCUCCUUCUCCUCCUCCUUCUCCUUCUUCACACUUGUCUACCUCAUACCCCAGCCUUGCCUGAUUUAUUUAACUGCAAGUUAGAAACUGGGAGAGAACCAACUUGGAGCUUUUUUGGUCUGGGAAAGAAAAUCCAAACCAUGCUUCUCAAGGGCCUCCUGACCUGGCUAAGCUCCAUGGAAGGAACCCUGGCCACGAGGGAUCUAAGCACCGCUCUGGUUUCCCAGAAGCCUGUGGGUGACUCUCAUCUGGCGGUGGACCUCAGAUGGGGCUCAGCAGUGAAAGAGGGGAAGACAAAAAUCUGGCGAGCGAGCUGCCCGGGCCGAGACUGGCCACUUCAAACAGCCCUUCAAACAAAAGGAGACGACGAAAAGAAAGCCCCACCUGUCUCCAGUGUUUGCUAAAAUAAUAAUAAAUAGAUUUCGUUUAAUAAAUAAUUACAA
Molecule: non-coding RNA, 490 nt
Filed under: Pan troglodytes (chimpanzee)
Lineage: Eukaryota; Metazoa; Chordata; Mammalia; Primates; Hominidae
Source: RNAcentral